CCUACGGGAGGCAGCAGUGGGGAAUAUUGGACAAUGGGCGAAAGCCUGAUCCAGCAAUGCCGCGUGAGUGAUGAAGGCCUUAGGGUUGUAAAGCUCUUUUACCAGGGAUGAUAAUGACAGUACCUGGAGAAUAAGCUCCGGCUAACUCCGUGCCAGCAGCCGCGGUAAUACGGAGGGAGCUAGCGUUGUUCGGAAUUACUGGGCGUAAAGCGUACGUAGGCGGUUAUUCAAGUCAGAGGUGAAAGCCUGGAGCUCAACUCCAGAACUGCCUUUGAAACUAGAUAGCUAGAAUCUUGGAGAGGUGAGUGGAAUUCCGAGUGUAGAGGUGAAAUUCGUAGAUAUUCGGAAGAACACCAGUGGCGAAGGCGACUCACUGGACAAGUAUUGACGCUGAGGUACGAAAGCGUGGGGAGCAAACAGGAUUAGAUACCCUGGUAGUCCACGCCGUAAACGAUGAUAACUAGCUGUUCGGGCUCUACGAGCUUGAGUGGCGCAGCUAACGCAUUAAGUUAUCCGCCUGGGGAGUACGGUCGCAAGAUUAAACCUUAAAGGAAUUGACGG
This 561-nucleotide ribosomal RNA is filed under the name uncultured bacterium. Its description in RNAcentral is "bacterial SSU rRNA". It matches the Rfam family "Bacterial small subunit ribosomal RNA", at positions 338 to 916 of the family's 1533-position model. The record is from RNAcentral.